This is a non-coding RNA of Prunus avium (sweet cherry), 347 nucleotides long. Lineage: Eukaryota; Viridiplantae; Streptophyta; Magnoliopsida; Rosales; Rosaceae. The record is from RefSeq and is a predicted model, not a curated record.
GUUCGCAAGAAGGGUAGGGACUUCAGUAAAUCCAAAACCGGUUCUGUCCUUGCCUUCAAAGUCACCUUCAGAGACUUCAAUCCUCUUGAUUCCUACAUAUGGUUUGAAUUCUAUGGAUCGCCAUCUGAUCGUGACGUCGAGCUCUUUGGCAGUGUUAUUCAGUCAUGGUAUGUUAUGGGACGCUUGGGUGCCUUUAAUUCUACUAAUCUGCAGCUUGCAAAUUCUUCCAUGGAGUAUAAUCCCCUCUAUGAUGUGGAUAAGGGUUUCAAAGUGAUGCCAUCUUCAUUUCAUGAUAUCAGUGAUGUUGAGUUUCAGGAUAACUGGGGUCGUGUUUGGUAUGCGUUGCA